UACAGAGGUCUCAAGCGUUGUUCGGAUUCAUUGGGCGUAAAGGGCGCGUAGGCGGCGGGGUAAGUCGGGUGUGAAAUCUCAGAGCUCAACUCUGAAACUGCACUCGAUACUGCUCUGCUUGAGGACUGGAGAGGAGACUGGAAUUCACGGUGUAGCAGUGAAAUGCGUAGAUAUCGUGAGGAAGACCAGUGGCGAAGGCGGGUCUCUGGACAGUUCCCGACGCUGAGGCGCGAAGGCGUGGGGAGCGAACGGG
Molecule: ribosomal RNA, 253 nt
Filed under: uncultured bacterium
Lineage: Bacteria
Description: partial 16S ribosomal RNA
Rfam family: Bacterial small subunit ribosomal RNA
Source: RNAcentral